Molecule: ribosomal RNA, 622 nt
Filed under: Streptomyces sp. X91(2010)
Lineage: Bacteria; Bacillati; Actinomycetota; Actinomycetes; Kitasatosporales; Streptomycetaceae
Description: bacterial SSU rRNA
Rfam family: Bacterial small subunit ribosomal RNA
Source: RNAcentral
UCCCCCCGCCCCCUUUCACUUGUUGGUGGGGUAAUGGCCUACCAAGGCGACGACGGGUAGCCGGCCUGAGAGGGCGACCGGCCACACUGGGACUGAGACACGGCCCAGACUCCUACGGGAGGCAGCAGUGGGGAAUAUUGCACAAUGGGCGAAAGCCUGAUGCAGCGACGCCGCGUGAGGGAUGACGGCCUUCGGGUUGUAAACCUCUUUCAGCAGGGAAGAAGCGAAAGUGACGGUACCUGCAGAAGAAGCGCCGGCUAACUACGUGCCAGCAGCCGCGGUAAUACGUAGGGCGCAAGCGUUGUCCGGAAUUAUUGGGCGUAAAGAGCUCGUAGGCGGCUUGUCACGUCGGAUGUGAAAGCCCGAGGCUUAACCUCGGGUCUGCAUUCGAUACGGGCUAGCUAGAGUGUGGUAGGGGAGAUCGGAAUUCCUGGUGUAGCGGUGAAAUGCGCAGAUAUCAGGAGGAACACCGGUGGCGAAGGCGGAUCUCUGGGCCAUUACUGACGCUGAGGAGCGAAAGCGUGGGGAGCGAACAGGAUUAGAUACCCUGGUAGUCCACGCCGUAAACGUUGGGAACUAGGUGUUGGCGACAUCCACGUCGUCGUGCCGCAGCAUGCUAGUU